Long non-coding RNA from Megalops cyprinoides (Indo-Pacific tarpon), 448 nucleotides. RefSeq lists it as uncharacterized. The record is from RefSeq and is a predicted model, not a curated record. Lineage: Eukaryota; Metazoa; Chordata; Actinopteri; Elopiformes; Megalopidae. The transcript is spliced from 4 exons.
GUGUCUGCAAGUCGAUCGCCCCCUGACACCCAGACGCACUCGCCUGCACCACAAAUGGGGCUUUGAUUGCCAGUCUAACCCCCCAACUCGCCCGGUGAUGUGAGUAUCCUGUCCAAGAACUGCUAUACCAUAACAACUGGAUGGGUCAUGCUCUGUUACAUAUGAAAUGAUGCCAUUUUCUGGAAUGGGGACGUUUCUUCUCUGUAUCAUCCUGGCUUCACAUGGUGUGUUAUCGGCGGCCCCUCGAGAUGGAGCACCCAGCCAGUUCCUCGGCUCCCCCUGGGCAAGAGCACUGUGCUGUGACCUGCGUGCCGGCCACCUAGAGGGGAGCAGAGAGGGAGAAGGUAGCGGGACCCCGUUGAGUGUGAGGGGCCAUCCAUCUGCCUCCGAAAACGCAGAUGCAGCCCAGUGUCAUUUCAUCCCUUACAGCUCGCCGUCGUCUCCCACC